This 36-nucleotide ribosomal RNA is filed under the name Drouetiella hepatica Uher 2000/2452. RNAcentral's name for it is "partial 23S ribosomal RNA". The record is from RNAcentral. Lineage: Bacteria; Bacillati; Cyanobacteriota; Cyanophyceae; Oculatellales; Oculatellaceae.
GGUCAAGCUACAAAGGGCUGAUGGUGGAUACCUAGG